Molecule: long non-coding RNA, 1376 nt
Filed under: Anser brachyrhynchus (Pink-footed goose)
Lineage: Eukaryota; Metazoa; Chordata; Aves; Anseriformes; Anatidae
Description: lncRNA (ENSABRG00000008831.1)
Source: RNAcentral
UCUCGGGAAGCUGGAAAUACAGUGGGAGGGAAAAUAUAAUCUUUCUCUCAUUUCAGAUGAACUUCUGCCUUCCUUGAAAUUCCUGUGAAUUUCAAAGCCUUUGAUGGUCAUGAAACAUCAGAGGAGCCUUUAUGCUAAGCGAAACCUAUGUGAAAGAAGCUCUGCUUCUGAUCCCACCAGUACCAGCUACGCACCCCGAUCCUCCUCCUUGUGUUUGUCAUCCUCCCAGCCCAUGCAGCCAUGCUGCAUUUGUUCGGGUGGUCGUGGCUCUGCCUUAAUGUGCUGUGUAGGGCGAUACUGAAGCAAGACCCUUUGUGGGACUUGCCCACAGGACCUCUGGGCCACCCCGGCUGCUCCCCUGCAGGCCAGCCUCUCCUGUAGGGCCUUGCUUUGUGCUCUGAGAGGCCUCGCCUGCAGCAAAGCCUGCGGUGCCUUUAUCCCAGCAUCCCUGACUGGGUCCACAUCACAGCAAGGGGCUUUCCUGGGGGAGCCCUGACACCAGCAGGCACGGGUAGCAGCUCUGCAGGCAGCCACGGGUCCCUGCGAUUGCAGGCACCGAGGAGGAGGGCAGCCUGACCACCCGCACGAGCCGGGGCAGCCGCUCCUUGGGAUGGGAGCAGCCUGGGCACAGCCGGUGGGACGCGGCGGGGAGUUUCUUCUCCACAGCAGAGCCAGCAGCAGGAGGCUGUGCAGGGGGUGCCACCGAAAUCACAGGGGCUGCAGGGUUGGAAGACGGCCCCAGCAGGUCCCUCCUGAACGGGGCACUGCUCUGUGUAAGGGCAAAUACAGUGCCACUGCUUCCUGCUCCUCAUCUCCCAGCCACUUCCAGAGGCUCUGGUGGGUGUCCCACCAGGAAAUCCCUCCAGAAUUGUUGCUGGCAGGGAACAGCAUCUGAGCAAGCAAAGGGGCAGACAGAAGAACCAAGAGCAGACAUCCCAAGGCUGGUGUUUUCCACAUGGGCGAUGUGGAGAAGCAGGCCCCGGUGUGGGCACGGCCAGAGAAGAAGUCUGUGGAAGCCAACCCACACGGCGUCGGGGACCUUGCUGGGAGAGGGCAGCAAGCGCCCUGGGGAGCCGUUCUGCUGCUGCAAGGAGGCUGCAGGUUUGCCCGUCUACAUGUCCCAUGACUGUUUGGAAACAGAGGAACAGAUGGAAGCUGGGCUGAGUCCUUCCCAAAGGUUGUGCGAAGGGCAGCGACUGCAUCCGAAUGGCAGGAGUCUCCGCGCUCAAAGCAGAGAUCAUCUUCCCUGCACCACCUGGCUACUCUGCAAAUUAAUCUUUGGACGCCUGAAGAUGGGCACCCAGAAAAUGAGGGAUUCUCUUAAUGGGGGAAGACAGAAAAUGAAAUUACUGCACGGGCCUUUGGAAGACACCUGA